GGUCAUCUUUAUCGUCAUCAUUGUCAUCCUCACCAUUGUUGGUCAUUGUCACUGUUGGUCAUGGUCAUUGUCAUCCUCACCAUCAUUGGUCAUUGUCACUGUCACCACUGUCAGUCUUUGUCAUCGUUGGUCAUCAUCAUCCUCAUCCUCAUUGGUCAUUGUCACUGUCACCAUCAUCGGUCAUUGCUGGUCUUCAUCAUCCUCAUCCUCACCAUCGCUGGUCAUGGUCAUCAUUGGCCAUGGUCAUCGUCAUCCUCACCAUUGGCCAUCAUCAUCCUCACUGUCACCAUCGUUGGUCAUCGUCACCGUGGCCAUCGUUGGCCAUCCUCAUCCUCACCAUGGCUGGUUAUGGUCAUCAUCAUCAUCAUCAUCAUCAUCAUCAUCACCAUGGUUGGUCAUCAUUGGUCAUCAUCGUCGUCACCAUCAUCGGUCACUGUCAUCGUUGGUCAUCAUCAUCAUCGCCAUCGUUGGCCAUCGUCAUCCUCACCAUGGUUGGUCAUCGUUGGCCAUCCUCAUCCUCACCAUGGCUGGUCAUGGUCAUCAUCCUCAUCCUCAUCCUCACCAUGGUUGGUCAUGGUUGGUCAUCCUCACAGUGGCCAUCGUUGGUCAUGGUCAUCCUCAUCAUCAUCCUCAUCCUCACCAUGGUUGCCCAUCGUUGGUCAUCGUCACCGUGGCCAUCGUUGCCCAUCCUCACUGUCACCGUCGCCGUCACCACCGCGGCCGCCGCCCUCCCAGAGCCGGGAACGCCGGGAGCGCCAGGAGCCGGCUCCGGCCGCCCCGACAUUCCCAAAAAUCCGCGGGAAUUCCCGGUUUUCCCUCCCGCCCCCGUCCCGGGGCCGAGCGCGAGGAGGACCCGGAAUAACGGAGGAGUCGCGGGAUCGGGAUCUGGAGUUUGUGGUGGGGAAC
Parus major (Great Tit) is the source of this 906-nucleotide long non-coding RNA. The record is from Ensembl. NCBI's taxonomy places the organism in Eukaryota, Metazoa, Chordata, Aves, Passeriformes, Paridae.